This 263-nucleotide long non-coding RNA is filed under the name Elaeis guineensis (African oil palm). RNAcentral describes it as "long non-coding RNA (EGUI_LNC000272)". Lineage: Eukaryota; Viridiplantae; Streptophyta; Magnoliopsida; Arecales; Arecaceae. The record is from RNAcentral.
CCUCCGCAGCAGCUACGCCUCCCGACGGCUGGUCGGCCAUCUCCUCGGUGGCUUCCUCCUCGGCCCCCGGUGGGAUGAUGCUGCUAAGGUCGAGCUCCGGAUACAAGGCCCGGACUGCCUCCCGACCAUCCUCGUACGCCACCCGGUACGAGGCGAAACCCGACUCGAGCAUCUCCUCCCGAUAUUGGUCGGAGACCCUGAAGUCUUCAACCGCCCGGUCGGCCGACUCCCGCGCCGACCUUGCCUCUUCCUCCGCCCGGCCG